GUCGCUUUGCCGGAGUGGUUAACGGGAUCGCCUGCUAACAGCACUACAUGAUGUUGUGCUCAGCUAAGCGGUUGCUCUUGUAGCGCGAGUGUUCGAAUCGCUCAGGCGACG
This 111-nucleotide transfer RNA is filed under the name Auriscalpium vulgare. Its description in RNAcentral is "tRNA-Ser". It matches the Rfam family "tRNA". From Rfam's summary of the family: Transfer RNA (tRNA) molecules are approximately 80 nucleotides in length. Their secondary structure includes four short double-helical elements and three loops (D, anti-codon, and T loops). The record is from RNAcentral. Lineage: Eukaryota; Fungi; Basidiomycota; Agaricomycetes; Russulales; Auriscalpiaceae.